GGGCAACCCUGGUGGCGAGUGGCGAACGGGUGAGUAAUACAUCGGAACGCGUCCUAUCGUGGGGGAUAACCAGUCGAAAGACUGGCUAAUACCGCAUGAGAUCGAGAGAUGAAAGCGGGGGACCGCAAGGCCUCGCGCGAUUGGAGCGGCCGAUGUCGGAUUAGCUAGUUGGCGGGGUAAUAGCCCACCAAGGCGACGAUCCGUAGCUGGUCUGAGAGGACGACCAGCCACACUGGGACUGAGACACGGCCCAGACUCCUACGGGAGGCAGCAGUGGGGAAUUUUGGACAAUGGGCGAAAGCCUGAUCCAGCCAUGCCGCGUGUGUGAAGAAGGCCUUCGGGUUGUAAAGCACUUUCGGACGGAACGAAAUCGCGCGGGCGAAUAUCCCGCGUGGAUGACGGUACCGUAAGAAGAAGCACCGGCUAACUACGUGCCAGCAGCCGCGGUAAUACGUAGGGUGCGAGCGUUAAUCGGAAUUACUGGGCGUAAAGCGUGCGCAGGCGGUUUCGCAAGUCAGACGUGAAAGCCCCGAGCUUAACUUGGGAACUGCAUUUGAAACUGGUCGACUAGAGUCUUGUAGAGGGGGGUAGAAUUCCAGGUGUAGCGGUGAAAUGCGUAGAGAUCUGGAG
RNAcentral lists this ribosomal RNA (630 nucleotides) under uncultured beta proteobacterium. RNAcentral describes it as "bacterial SSU rRNA". It matches the Rfam family "Bacterial small subunit ribosomal RNA", at positions 77 to 703 of the family's 1533-position model. Lineage: Bacteria; Pseudomonadati; Pseudomonadota; Betaproteobacteria. The record is from RNAcentral.